CGGACGGGUGAGUAACGCGUGGGCAACCUGCCCUGUACUGGGGGAUAACACUUAGAAAUAGGUGCUAAUACCGCAUAAGCGCACAGCUUCGCAUGAAGCGGUGUGAAAAACUCUGGUGGUAUACGAUGGUUCCGCGUCUGAUUAGCUAGUUGGUGGGGUAAUGGCCUACCAAGGCAACGAUCAGUAGCCGGCCUGAGAGGGUGAACGGCCACAUUGGGACUGAGACACGGCCCAAACUCCUACGGAAGGCAGCAG
Molecule: ribosomal RNA, 255 nt
Filed under: uncultured bacterium
Lineage: Bacteria
Description: partial 16S ribosomal RNA
Rfam family: Bacterial small subunit ribosomal RNA
Source: RNAcentral